This 452-nucleotide ribosomal RNA is filed under the name uncultured bacterium. RNAcentral's name for it is "bacterial SSU rRNA". It matches the Rfam family "Bacterial small subunit ribosomal RNA", at positions 29 to 523 of the family's 1533-position model. The record is from RNAcentral.
AACGAACGCUGGCGGCAGGCUUAACACAUGCAAGUCGAACGGGUGUAGCAAUACAUCAGUGGCAGACGGGUGAGUAACACGUGGGAACCUUCCUAGAGGUACGGAACAACUCAGGGAAACUUGAGCUAAUACCGUAUACGCUCUUGCGAGGAAAGAUUUAUCGCCUUUAGACGGGCCCGCGUCGGAUUAGCUAGUUGGUGGGGUAACGGCCUACCAAGGCGACGAUCCGUAGCUGAUCUGAGAGGAUGAUCAGCCACACUAGGACUGAGACACGGCCCAGACUCCUACGGGAGGCAGCAGUGGGGAAUCUUGGACAAUGGGCGCAAGCCUGAUCCAGCCAUGCCGCGUGAGUGAAGAAGGCCUGCGGGUUGUAAAGCUCUUUUGCCAGGGACGAUAAUGACGGUACCUGGAGAAUAAGCCCCGGCAAACUUCGUAGCCAGCAGCCGCGGUAA